AGGGAGAGAUUCUAGGGUUCGGAAAUAAUUCGAGAAACUAGGCUAAGAUUGUUUUGGUUUUCGAAAGAGGGUGAAAAAGCUCAUUCAGUGAGCUGAAAAGAGGGAUUGUUCUUUAUUCUUCCCUUUUAGGUUCGAAAGUUCUUAUGUUCAAAAUUUGAAGGGAAAUUUCUUCUAAGAGAGAGGUAUUUGAAAGGAGGAAAAAACUGAGGGAGGUGGAAGAAGAAAUUUUGAGAAUGAGCGAUUCCUUUGGUGAAGUUUUCUGGUUUCCCUUCUUCUUCUUUUGAAACUUGCUCGUUUAAACGGAAGACCUGAAGGUUCGUCGAUUGGUCGUGACUUCCGAAUUGACAGCAACGUUAUUCUCUGGUGGUGAUCGAGAUUCCGUCAAGAGCUCGAGUCCCGUUUUGCUGCCCUGAAGCAGGUAACUCGUCGUUCCGUUUAGUUCCGUUUAAUUUCUGCCUGAUCUCGCCAUUACGUAAAUAUAACAAUGUUUACGAUAAUUUUCUGGGCUGGAAAUUGCUUGCUAUAGGAAGCCUUAUAGGCCAUAGGACCUUGUAUGAGAUAAUUUCAUCUGUUUCAUUUGAUUGCCGUUCGUGAUUCAUGUUCAACGAGCUGAUUAGUGUAUGAUGAAAACUGUCUUAUGAAAUUGCUUGUUCUAAUCAACGCUAUUAGGUACUGCGUAAAAUAGUUGUGUAUGUGCUCUAUAUUUCGGGAGGAAAAUAUUUGCAUAUUAUGUUUUUGCCACAACUGAUGGUUUAUGUAUCAUGUGUACUUGAGAUUAUUCAUUUAUGGAAUGUAUGUUAUAGGAUUUUCAUGUUUAUACACCUUAUACUCUACAAGAUGUCCUUAUCCGAAUGUUUCAAUUUGAGUAAAUGUGCAAUGCCCCUCUUCUGGUAAAAGGAUAGGUCCAUAAACUGGACAAGAUGAUGGGUUCAAAUGAUUUUGCAUCUUCUUUGGGAUUUGUUCUUAGGAGCCUCAUUUGUGACACUUCUUUAUCAAAGUUAAAUAAAAGAAGUCUUUUCUAUUUAUAGUGUGUAUUCCCUUACUUUACCUAUUUCGACAUAAGUUUAACACGUACACUUGUAGUUCUUAGUUGAAAAUUGAUUCUAAAACUAGCUUUUCCUAAGUCAUUACUAACUCGUAUUAGCUUGUAUACCACCUGUAAGAAACUUUUAGUAUCCUAUUCACUUGUCUGGUAAAUACACCUCUUCUUACAUCAUUCUUACUCUUGUUGGAUAAGAAAGCGUUUUUAGUUGCAUUGCUCCUUCCCGCCUUUCUGAUUCAUUUCAGUACCUAAGGUUAAGAGUUUUGCAUCCGUUUAAACACAAAAUCAUGUUCACGUUUUAUUUAAAGCCAUCUUCUUUUUCGUGUUAUCGUUUGGUAGAAAAAUUCAAUAGGGUAAAAGUUGUUUGUAGGCUAUAUGUGUGGUGACAUGCCUAAUUAAUGUGAUUACUCUGUGGGAGAAGUUCUGUUUUGGUUGUUUCCUGAUUNN
Molecule: long non-coding RNA, 1489 nt
Filed under: Capsicum annuum
Lineage: Eukaryota; Viridiplantae; Streptophyta; Magnoliopsida; Solanales; Solanaceae
Description: long non-coding RNA (CANN_LNC009045)
Source: RNAcentral